RNAcentral lists this ribosomal RNA (540 nucleotides) under Lachnospiraceae bacterium oral taxon 373. Its description in RNAcentral is "bacterial SSU rRNA". It matches the Rfam family "Bacterial small subunit ribosomal RNA", at positions 385 to 943 of the family's 1533-position model. The record is from RNAcentral. Lineage: Bacteria; Bacillati; Bacillota; Clostridia; Lachnospirales; Lachnospiraceae.
GAUGCAGCGACGCCGCGUGAGUGAAGAAGUAUGUUCGGUAUGUGAAAGCUCUAUCAGCAGGGAAGAAGAUGACGGUACCUGAGUAAGAAGCCCCGGCUAACUACGUGCCAGCAGCCGCGGUAAUACGUAGGGGGCAAGCGUUAUCCGGAUUUACUGGGUGUAAAGGGAGCGCAGACGGCAGCGUAAGUCUGAAGUGAAAGCCCGCGGCUUAACCGCGGGACUGCUUUGGAAACUACGCGGCUUGAGUGUCGGAGGGGCAGGCGGAAUUCCUGGUGUAGCGGUGAAAUGCGUAGAUAUCAGGAAGAACACCGGUGGCGAAGGCGGCCUGCUGGACGACAACUGACGUUGAGGCUCGAAGGCGUGGGGAGCGAACAGGAUUAGAUACCCUGGUAGUCCACGCGGUAAACGAUGAAUACUAGGUGUCGGCGCCCAAAGGGAGUCGGUGCCGUCGCAAACGCAGUAAGUAUUCCACCUGGGGAGUACGUUCGCAAGAAUGAAACUCAAGGAAUUGACGGGGACCGCACAGCAGUGGAGCAUGUG